This 105-nucleotide ribosomal RNA is filed under the name Candidatus Merdisoma merdipullorum. Its description in RNAcentral is "partial 16S ribosomal RNA". It matches the Rfam family "Bacterial small subunit ribosomal RNA", at positions 1 to 114 of the family's 1533-position model. The record is from RNAcentral. Lineage: Bacteria; Bacillati; Bacillota; Clostridia; Lachnospirales; Lachnospiraceae.
AAACAUGAGAGUUUGAUCCUGGCUCAGGAUGAACGCUGGCGGCGUGCCUAACACAUGCAAGUCGAACGAAGCACUUAAGUGAAUUUCUUCGGAUUGAAGCUUAUU